AGCCCUGUAGUGUAGUGGCCAAUCAUAUAACGCUCUGGCCGUUAUGACCCAGGUUCGAAUCCUGGCGGGGCUA
This 73-nucleotide transfer RNA is filed under the name Candidatus Woesearchaeota archaeon. RNAcentral's name for it is "tRNA-Gln". It matches the Rfam family "tRNA". From Rfam's summary of the family: Transfer RNA (tRNA) molecules are approximately 80 nucleotides in length. Their secondary structure includes four short double-helical elements and three loops (D, anti-codon, and T loops). The record is from RNAcentral. Lineage: Archaea; Nanobdellati; Candidatus Woesearchaeota.